Molecule: ribosomal RNA, 454 nt
Filed under: uncultured Eubacteriales bacterium
Lineage: Bacteria; Bacillati; Bacillota; Clostridia; Eubacteriales
Description: bacterial SSU rRNA
Rfam family: Bacterial small subunit ribosomal RNA
Source: RNAcentral
CAGUGGAGCGUGUGGUUUAAUUCGAAGCAACGCGCAGAACCUUACCAGGUCUUGAACAUCCCCUGACAGCCUCAGAGAUGAGGUGUUCUGGUUUCCAGACAGGGAGACAGGUGUUGCAUGGUUGUCGUCAGCUCGUGUCGUGAGAUGUUGGGUUAAGUCCCGCAACGAGCGCAACCCCCGUUCUGUGUUGCCAGCGUAAAGUCGGGCACUCACAGGAGACUGCCGGAGACAAUUCGGAGGAAGGUGGGGAUGACGUCAAAUCCUCAUGGCCCUUAUGACCUGGGCUACACACGCGCUACAAUGGCCUGUACAGAGGGAAGCGAAAGAGCGAUCUGGAGCGAAUCUCACAAAACAGGUCUCAGUUCGGAUUGCAGGCUGAAACCCGCCUGCAUGAAGCCGGAAUUGCUAGUAAUCGCAGAUCAGCUACGCUGCGGUGAAUACGUUCUCGGGCCUU